RNAcentral lists this ribosomal RNA (253 nucleotides) under uncultured bacterium. RNAcentral describes it as "partial 16S ribosomal RNA". It matches the Rfam family "Bacterial small subunit ribosomal RNA", at positions 524 to 776 of the family's 1533-position model. The record is from RNAcentral.
UACGGAGGGGGCGAGCGUUAUUCGGAAUUACUGGGCGUAAAGGGCCAGUAGGCGGCCAACUAAGUCGGAUGUGAAAUCCCCAGGCUCAACUUGGGAACUGCAUCCGAUACUGGAUGGCUUGAAUUCGGGAGAGGGAUGCAGAAUUCCAGGUGUAGCGGUGAAAUGCGUAGAUAUCUGGAGGAAUACCGGUGGCGAAGGCGGCAUCCUGGACCGACAUUGACGCUGAACGGCGAAAGCUAGGGGAGCAAACGGG